Molecule: ribosomal RNA, 482 nt
Filed under: uncultured bacterium
Lineage: Bacteria
Description: partial 16S ribosomal RNA
Rfam family: Bacterial small subunit ribosomal RNA
Source: RNAcentral
AUUGAACGCUGGCGGCAUGCUUUACACAUGCAAGUCGAACGGUAACAGGCCGCAAGGUGCUGACGAGUGGCGAACGGGUGAGUAAUGCAUCGGAACGUGCCCAGUCGUGGGGGAUAACUACUCGAAAGAGUAGCUAAUACCGCAUACGAUCUAUGGAUGAAAGCGGGGGACCGUAAGGCCUCGCGCGAUUGGAGCGGCCGAUGUCAGAUUAGGUAGUUGGUGGGGUAAAGGCUCACCAAGCCAACGAUCUGUAGCUGGUCUGAGAGGACGACCAGCCACACUGGGACUGAGACACGGCCCAGACUCCUACGGGAGGCAGCAGUGGGGAAUUUGGGACAAUGGGCGCAAGCCUGAUCCAGCAAUGCCGCGUGCAGGAAGAAGGCCUUCGGGUUGUAAACUGCUUUUGUACGGAACGAAACGGCUCUGGUUAAUACCCGGGGCUAAUGACGGUACCGUAAGAAUAAGCACCGGCUAACUACGUG